RNAcentral lists this microRNA precursor (211 nucleotides) under Prunus dulcis (almond). Its description in RNAcentral is "sRNA ncRNA". The record is from RNAcentral. Lineage: Eukaryota; Viridiplantae; Streptophyta; Magnoliopsida; Rosales; Rosaceae.
CGUUGGCAGCGUGUUAGAGAGGGAGAGAGGGAGAGAGAGUUAGAGAGAGAAAGACACAGACAGACAGAGAGAAAAUCUUGUUUCUCUGUUGCCUUAGUAUAAUCCGUCUCAAGAAAAAGUGGUGGGCAGAGGCAGCUGGUUUUGAUCCCAAACCCAAAAGCCUCUCUCCAUCUCCCUCUCUCUCUCUCUCUCUCUCUCUCUCUCUCUCUUC